GGGGCUCUGGCUCAGUGGAAGAACUUCUGUUUUGCAUUCAGAAGACCCCAGUUCAGUCCCUGGUAUCUCCA
Molecule: transfer RNA, 71 nt
Filed under: Sphaerodactylus townsendi
Lineage: Eukaryota; Metazoa; Chordata; Lepidosauria; Squamata; Sphaerodactylidae
Description: tRNA-Ala
Source: RNAcentral